GACGAACGCUGGCGGCGUGCUUAACACAUGCAAGUCGAACGGAAAGGCCCUGCUUUUGUGGGGUGCUCGAGUGGCGAACGGGUGAGUAACACGUGAGUAACCUGCCCUUGACUUUGGGAUAAAUUCAGGAAACUGGGGCUAAUACCGGAUAGGAGCUCCUGCUGCAUGGGGGGGGUUGGAAAGGUUCGGCGGUUGGGGAUGGACUCGCGGCUUAUCAGCUUGUUGGUGGGGUAGUGGCUUACCAAGGCUUUGACGGGUAGCCGGCCUGAGAGGGUGACCGGCCACAUUGGGACUGAGAUACGGCUCAGACUCCUACGGGAGGCAGCAGUGGGGAAUAUUGCACAAUGGGCGGAAGCCUGAUGCAGCAACGCCGCGUGCGGGAUGACGGCCUUCGGGUUGUAAACCGCUUUCGCCUGUGACGAAGCGUGAGUGACGGUAAUGGGUAAAGAAGCACCGGCUAACUACGUG
This 468-nucleotide ribosomal RNA is filed under the name uncultured bacterium. RNAcentral describes it as "partial 16S ribosomal RNA". It matches the Rfam family "Bacterial small subunit ribosomal RNA", at positions 28 to 507 of the family's 1533-position model. The record is from RNAcentral.